GACGAACGCUGGCGGCGUGCUUAACACAUGCAAGUCGAACGGAAAGGCCCUGCUUUUGUGGGGUGCUCGAGUGGCGAACGGGUGAGUAACAAGUGAGUAACCUGCCCUUGCCUUUGGGAUAACUUCAGGAAACUGGGGCUAAUACCGGAUAGGAGCUCCUGCUGCAUGGUGGGGGUUGGAAAGUUUCGGCGGUUGGGGAUGGACUCGCGGCUUAUCAGCUUGUUGGUGGGGUAGUGGCUUACCAAGGCUUUGACGGGUAGCCGGCCUGAGAGGGUGACCGGCCACAUUGGGACUGAGAUACGGCCCAGACUCCUACGGGAGGCAGCAGUGGGGAAUAUUGCACAAUGGGCGGAAGCCUGAUGCAGCAACGCCGCGUGCGGGAUGACGGCCUUCGGGUUGUAAACCGCUUUCGCCUGUGACGAAGCGUGAGUGACGGUAAUGGGUAAAGAAGCACCGGCUAACUACGUG
Molecule: ribosomal RNA, 468 nt
Filed under: uncultured bacterium
Lineage: Bacteria
Description: partial 16S ribosomal RNA
Rfam family: Bacterial small subunit ribosomal RNA
Source: RNAcentral